This 405-nucleotide ribosomal RNA is filed under the name uncultured bacterium. RNAcentral's name for it is "bacterial SSU rRNA". It matches the Rfam family "Bacterial small subunit ribosomal RNA", at positions 29 to 433 of the family's 1533-position model. The record is from RNAcentral.
AUUGAACGCUGGCGGCAUGCUUUACACAUGCAAGUCGAACGGCAGCACGGGGGCAACCCUGGUGGCGAGUGGCGAACGGGUGAGUAACACAUCGGAACGUGUCCUGUUGUGGGGGAUAACCAGUCGAAAGACGGGCUAAUACCGCAUGAGCCGGAGACAGGAAAGCGGGGGACUCGUAAGGGCCUCGUGCGAUUGGAGCGGCCGAUGUCCGAUUAGCUAGUUGGUGAGGUAAAGGCUCACCAAGGCAACGAUCGGUAGCUGGUCUGAGAGGAUGAUCAGCCACACUGGGACUGAGACACGGCCCAGACUCCUACGGGAGGCAGCAGUGGGGAAUUUUGGACAAGUGGGGCAACCCUGAUCCAGCCAUGCCGCGUGAGUGAAGAAGGCCGUUCGGUUGGUAAGUAC